CAGUCAAUAGAAGGUUCGGACAGUAAAGUCUCGGCACUGCCAGGGAUACUACACAAGAGUUAUCAGUUACCAUUCUGCAGCGCAUGCCAGGAUUAACCUAGUGCCAAAGGAACACUGUCAAGAAAUGAACUCUGCGCCAGCUUCCAGUCAAGCCAGGAGGUACAAUCCUAAAGGUAGAGCCCAUUGUACCAGGCCAACAGUGACACAUUCCUGUCACUGGGUCACAUCGACCUUCUUCACCACAUGGACAAAGCAUCCUACAAUCUUUCCCAUAAUAGCCUUCUGGACAAGCU
Molecule: long non-coding RNA, 293 nt
Organism: Hemiscyllium ocellatum (epaulette shark)
Lineage: Eukaryota; Metazoa; Chordata; Chondrichthyes; Orectolobiformes; Hemiscylliidae
Exons: 3
Source: RefSeq, a predicted model, not a curated record